RNAcentral lists this long non-coding RNA (473 nucleotides) under Ananas comosus (pineapple). RNAcentral's name for it is "long non-coding RNA (ACOM_LNC009044)". Lineage: Eukaryota; Viridiplantae; Streptophyta; Magnoliopsida; Poales; Bromeliaceae. The record is from RNAcentral.
AUUUUAAUAAUAUAGUGGAAAAAAAUAUUAUUUUUGUUGGCAUUCGGUUAAAUCGAAUCGGGUACGCCCAUAAUCGGAUUCGAUCCAACGGAUAUUAUGUUAUCUAAUUGCGAUCGUGCUCGUUUGUAGUUCGAUCCACCGUGAGUUUGGAGCGUGAGAAGACAUUCAAGGACGAUCCGAGGACACGUGAAUCAAUCUAAACGAUCCAGGCUCAUCGCGUUGUUGCGCGAAUCGCUUCCGCAAAAGGUACGAACCGAAUACUUCCGCUGCGUUCUACAAUUUUUAUACUAUAGAAAAUUUAAAAAGUCUAACAACGUAUUCAUCUUCUAUUUUUUAAAGUUACGGUUGCAAUCUCUACCAGAGAAAGAAGUUACAAUCUUAAUUUUAUAGUAUAAGAAGUACUUUUCAAAUUUUUAAGCAUUCUAUAAUAUGAAUAUAAAAUGUAUAGCCAUUACAUUACCAAAUUAGGUCUA